Oreochromis aureus is the source of this 4123-nucleotide long non-coding RNA. RefSeq lists it as uncharacterized. The record is from RefSeq and is a predicted model, not a curated record. The transcript is spliced from 5 exons. Lineage: Eukaryota; Metazoa; Chordata; Actinopteri; Cichliformes; Cichlidae.
ACAGAUGCUUCCUAUGUUCCUCUGUAUGCUUGUACAGCUGUUUCGAGCUAACUAGGUUUUUAGAGGCUCUAAUUUAAGUUAAUUUUGCCUAUCUGGUCAACCCUAGCCCCCCUCCGGAAUUCGGUGGGUAGCCUAGCAGAGAAAACGGCAGGUGAAAAGGCUGCACACCGUGGCAGUCGGUUGGUUUCCACUGGUGAUGAAUAAAUAACGGGACAAAAGCAGCGUCGCGUCUGUCGCACAUAUCACAGCUGCUGUAUCGGCUGCAGACGAGAGGAGAAAGCCAUCCGACAGCAGCAACCAACUCUAUCAUCUCCACUAGAGGGAGGGCUAUCUCACAACAAGGCCACCAAGGAGCUGCAUCUGAGGGUCAGCAUGUGGUGAGUCAGUAGAAGCGAGCCAGCGAGCGCCUGAUCUCCGAGCGAGGCUUGUCAGCGUGGUCCUGAGUGGGCUGUGUGGAGCUUCUGUCAGAGAGUGUCACAUUUCCACGGCCCACACUGUGGCUCCUCUGUCCUCCUCAUGGCUGCAGCUCAAUGGGUCCUUUGAUGGGCCAACCCGAGGCCUUUCAUCAUCCAUCUCGCCACGGGGCACGGGGGCCAUGGGGGGUUGUGCCUCACAACACCUGGCAGAACGGAAAAGAACACGAUGAUGAGGGGCAGCGCUCAGACAUGGGGCAGUCACCAGACUGCUUCAAAGUCUGUUGACUGAAUUAUCUCCGGACGGUAAGAGAGAAAGGAAACAACUGUCGUCAGCUCUCAGUCAGCCGGGGAGAAACUCGUCCCUGACAGCCGGUUGGUUAACCGGUCUUUACAGCCUAAUCCUGUGGUGGAGGCAUGGGAGCAGGGAGAGACAGCACAGCGUGAGGACACAUCAGCGUCUGCACACAGACAAAUGGCCUCAGUGUUUGCUUUCGGGGAGAGCGGUGUCACGAGAUAGUGGAUCUUCGUAGCGAGAGCGGAAGCUGAAGUCUCAGGUUUGAGUGGCCACAGAGAGCACAUGACUGAGGUGUUGAGAGGAAAGGUGUGGUGGCCGGGCCCUGCGGGAAGACAGAGGAGAAGAAAGAACAAGUGCUGCACAGCGGGAUGAGUGGAGGCUAUUGAACUCAGAACACCUGUGUUCACUGAUCAAAGGGAUUAUUGGUGUCUUGGGGCUUUGUUGCACCAGCCAUGUUGUUUCCAUAAUCACAGUUGCGCUCAGAGUGUCGAAGUUGAGCAAAGCAAAUCAGUUUUUAAAUCAACAUCACCAGUCAGCAUGAACGUUUUUCUACCAUGUGAUCUGGGACUAAAUACAGUACGGCCUGAUAAAUAAAGGUGGUUUAAAGGCGCCCAAGUCCUCCACAUUCACAUAGAUGUCCCCUCUGGCCUCGUAGUCUGUCUUGGCUCUCUGGCACACAAGGUCAUCCCCUAGCCAGUCACGACACUCCAAUUAAGGCAACUGAUGGACGCAGCUAAUUGCUAGGAUUUAUAACCUCCUUUUAUUAUGCUUUAUGAGGAAGGCAAGUGGAGGGCAUUACCAUUUAUAGGCCCCAGGCUCUAUGCUGGAUCACUGUCAUCCACUAGUGUCCAGCCUGACAACAGAAUAUCGAACAAGCAUGAGUAGCUGGAGCUGAGAUGUGUAGGUGUCUAUUCAGCACUUUCAGUUUGGGCUUUUAAUGUGAUGUUUUGGUAGAAACAAAAAGUAAGUGAAAAGACAGAAAGAUUAAAAUAGAGUUUGAAAAGGGGAGUUAAAGACUGGGUGAAACACAGAGAGAGGCUCCAUGGAGCAGGCAGGAGGAGAAGGCAGGCAAGCCUCCCAUAAUGAGUGUGUGGUUAUUGAUUGUAUUGUAAGGGUGGCUGACCAGGGUCCCGUGUGCUAUGGGGCCCAGUCCAUCUGUGGACAAUGCAGUCAGUUACACCUCACUGCUUCGUCUAAUAAAGAACAGGCAGAUUGAUGUCACCAGUAUGGUUGAACUCUACCUAACACUCACCAGCACCACACACACACACACAUGUGAAGCAGUACUGCAGCACGGUCAUGAAAUAGGAAAAUAAUUUUUAUUUAGUUUUCUGGCAGAGAAAUUAUAUAACCUGUGAUUUCAGUUGAUACAUAUUCAAAUACAUAACAGAGAGCUGCAACUAAUGAUUGUGGUCAUUAUGAAUUAAUAUGUCAGCUAUCUGAAAAUUUCCUUAUUCAUUGUUUAGUCCAGGAGUGUCAAACAUAAGGCCCAGGGGCCAGAAUUGGCCUGGCAAAGACCCCAGUCUGGUCCAGUGCACAGCUGAUUGAGGUUAUGAAUGGAUUUAGACUUGUAGCUGUGUCUUUGUAAGUUUUACAGAUUUUUUUCUAAUUACAAUUAUUAAUUUGCAGAAAGUUUAUAUUUCAUAAUAUCAGGACAUUUUGGGCAAGGCUGAGCUAUAGUUUAACACAUUUAUCCUGUAGUUUCACUGGCUUGGCCCACUUAAGAUCAAAGUGGGCUGUGUGGGGCCCAUAAUGUAAAAUGAGUUUGACAUCCCUGGCUUAGUCUUUAAAAUCUCAUAAAACACUGAAAUGUUCUGACAGUGGUUAAAAGUGACAUCCAAAAAUAAUUUUAAUUUAAUUUUAACAGGAGCUAUGGAAAAAUGGCGAUGAGUGUUUUUCAUGUGAAUUUCAGCAAAUAUUCCCAGUAAUUAUUAUACAGUAUUUUUUUUAGUAAAAUACAAAAAAAAAGAAGUAUGCUCACCCAGUGUGGGAAAACUUAGCACACGGAAUUCACUGCUUCCAGCACUGACCAACAUUUCCGUGCUGCUGGCAUUCCCAGCUAAUGCACUGGCAGCAUAUCAGGUCAGGACCCUUGUAUAAAUGCUAGAACAAUUGCAGCCCUAAUGAAGUCUGUGUUCUGCUGGUUAAAGUUCUCCUUUUAGAGGAAGUCAGCGCUUCCACCUGAACAUCUGGCUGUGCUCGAGCCCGCGUAGCCUCGGUGGCAGAAGCACGAGCGAUUACCCCUGCGCAGCCAGCCAAAACACAAAAAUCAAUAAACAAUCUCAACGUUUCUGAGGGCCUUUCGUCUGACUUAAUAAAUGUCUCAAUCCACUCUUAUGACUUCAUUUUGCUUUAACGUCUUCUUCAUGUGCAUCUUUUGCUGAUCAAUUAGAGAAUGGAGUGCCCCUUCUGUCACGACACCUGCCACCUGCCCUCCAUUCAAUGCUGCACACACACACACACGUGUCACAUGGCCACGAGGCACAAGGUGAACUGCUAUUUUAAUCCUUGAAAUAAGAUACCUUUUGAAAGCACUUCGUUAAAUGGCUCAUUAGAGGAUAGGUCACGCACUUCUUCCAGGUUUUUCUAUAUACAGUAUCAUGUGUUCAGUAAUUUUAUCUUGACCUAAGAGUUUUUUCAUCUAUACAUGCAGACUUUAGAAGCCCAGCACAUUUCCUUCCUUUAAAGCAUUGUGUUGCUUGAGUCCGGCCACUUAAUGAGACAUAUAUGUAGUCCUAAGUGUGCGGGAGAGGCACCAUUUCCAGGCUGUCAGGGCCGAUGAUGACCGCAGCAUCUUUCUCUCAGGAUGCCUCUGCUGUCACAGGCCCUAAUCCCGGAGCUGCAGGGAUGACAGGUGACUGGUGCCAGAGCCCCCUGGUCUGUGACUAGAAACUCCUGGAGAAUUUGACGCACACCCCCUUCUCUUGUCUCCCAUUGAUUCUGCCACUUCCCAUUAUUGUCAAUCAGAGCAGCAUCAUCUCCAUCGGGGGAGAGGUGCAAGUAGGCGAUUGCCAGGGCAGUGGGGUGCGAAGAGGAGCGUGCAGCACGCCUGCAAGCUACUACGCCAGUGCAAGAGGGGUGGGGGGUGCUUCUCAAGGGGCUGCCUGGGCAGUAUGCCACAACUAAAACGGAGACCUUUUGCUCUACAGCACACAGUGCACACAAUCGAGAAGCACAAAAGGGUGAAACCUCUCGAGCAGUUUAGCGUCGAGAAAAGGAGCAGCUGAGGCUCUGGCUGAAAAGUUUCACAGGGCUGUCAGUGGGGAAAGCAAUGCUUCUCUCUCAGAUGUGACUGCCUUGUUAGAAAAAUGACAUAAAAACAAUGACAGGAGUAAUGGAAGAGAGGUGAAGCAUUGUUUCCAGAGGGGUUCAAACGGGUUUUGGAAGGUAGCUGCUUUGUCAGUAAGCUUCC